This 449-nucleotide ribosomal RNA is filed under the name Salmonella enterica subsp. enterica serovar Kentucky. RNAcentral describes it as "bacterial SSU rRNA". It matches the Rfam family "Bacterial small subunit ribosomal RNA", at positions 1 to 448 of the family's 1533-position model. The record is from RNAcentral. Lineage: Bacteria; Pseudomonadati; Pseudomonadota; Gammaproteobacteria; Enterobacterales; Enterobacteriaceae.
AAAUUGAAGAGUUUGAUCAUGGCUCAGAUUGAACGCUGGCGGCAGGCCUAACACAUGCAAGUCGAACGGUAGCACAGAGAGCUUGCUCUCGGGUGACGAGUGGCGGACGGGUGAGUAAUGUCUGGGAAACUGCCCGAUGGAGGGGGAUAACUACUGGAAACGGUAGCUAAUACCGCAUAACGUCGCAAGACCAAAGUGGGGGACCUUCGGGCCUCACACCAUCGGAUGUGCCCAGAUGGGAUUAGCUAGUAGGUGGGGUAACGGCUCACCUAGGCGACGAUCCCUAGCUGGUCUGAGAGGAUGACCAGCCACACUGGAACUGAGACACGGUCCAGACUCCUACGGGAGGCAGCAGUGGGGAAUAUUGCACAAUGGGCGCAAGCCUGAUGCAGCCAUGCCGCGUGUAUGAAGAAGGCCUUCGGGUUGUAAAGUACUUUCAGCGAGGAGGA